Molecule: ribosomal RNA, 426 nt
Filed under: uncultured bacterium
Lineage: Bacteria
Description: SSU rRNA
Rfam family: Bacterial small subunit ribosomal RNA
Source: RNAcentral
AUGGGCGCAGCCUGAUGCAGCGACGCCGCGUGCGGGAUGACGGCCUUCGGGUUGUAAACCGCUUUUGAUCGGGAGCAAGCCUUCGGGUGAGUGUACCUUUCGAAUAAGCACCGGCUAACUACGUGCCAGCAGCCGCGGUAAUACGUAGGGUGCAAGCGUUAUCCGGAAUUAUUGGGCGUAAAGGGCUCGUAGGCGGUUCGUCGCGUCCGGUGUGAAAGUCCAUCGCUUAACGGUGGAUCUGCGCCGGGUACGGGCGGGCUGGAGUGCGGUAGGGGAGACUGGAAUUCCCGGUGUAACGGUGGAAUGUGUAGAUAUCGGGAAGAACACCAAUGGCGAAGGCAGGUCUCUGGGCCGUUACUGACGCUGAGGAGCGAAAGCGUGGGGAGCGAACAGGAUUAGAUACCCUGGUAGUCCAAGGGCGAAUUC